GAUGAACGCUGGCGGCGUGCCUAAUACAUGCAAGCCGAGCGAACAGACAAGGAGCUUGCUCCUUUGACGUUAGCGGCGGACGGGUGAGUAACACGUGGGUAACCUACCUAUAAGACUGGGAUAACUUCGGGAAACCGGAGCUAAUACCGGAUAAUAUUUCGAACCGCAUGGUUCGAUAGUGAAAGAUGGUUUUGCUAUCACUUAUAGAUGGACCCGCGCCGUAUUAGCUAGUUGGUAAGGUAACGGCUUACCAAGGCGACGAUACGUAGCCGACCUGAGAGGGUGAUCGGCCACACUGGAACUGAGACACGGUCCAGACUCCUACGGGAGGCAGCAGUAGGGAAUCUUCCGCAAUGGGCGAAAGCCUGACGGAGCAACGCCGCGUGAGUGAUGAAGGUCUUCGGAUCGUAAAACUCUGUUAUUAGGGAAGAACAUACGUGUAAGUAACUAUGCACGUCUUGACGGUACCUAAUCAGAAAGCCACGGCUAACUACGUGCCAGCAGCCGCGGUAAUACGUAGGUGGCAAGCGUUAUCCGGAAUUAUUGGGCGUAAAGCGCGCGUAGGCGGUUUUUUAAGUCUGAUGUGAAAGCCCACGGCUCAACCGUGGAGGGUCAUUGGAAACUGGAAAACUUGAGUGCAGAAGAGGAAAGUGGAAUUCCAUGUGUAGCGGUGAAAUGCGCAGAGAUAUGGAGGAACACCGGUGGCGAAGGCGACUUUCUGGUCUGUAACUGACGCUGAUGUGCGAAAGCGUGGGGAUCAAACAGGAUUAGAUACCCUGGUAGUCCACGCCGUAAACGAUGAGUGCUAAGUGUUAGGGGGUUUCCGCCCCUUAGUGCUGCAGCUAACGCAUUAAGCACUCCGCCUGGGGAGUACGACCGCAAGGUUGAAACUCAAAGGAAUUGACGGGGGCCCGCACAAGCGGUGGAGCAUGUGGUUUAAUUCGAAGCAACGCGAAGAACCUUACCAAAUCUUGACAUCCUUUGACAACUCUAGAGAUAGAGCUUUCCCCUUCGGGGGACAAAGUGACAGGUGGUGCAUGGUUGUCGUCAGCUCGUGUCGUGAGAUGUUGGGUUAAGUCCCGCAACGAGCGCAACCCUUAAGCUUAGUUGCCAUCAUUAAGUUGGGCACUCUAAGUUGACUGCCGGUGACAAACCGGAGGAAGGUGGGGAUGACGUCAAAUCAUCAUGCCCCUUAUGAUUUGGGCUACACACGUGCUACAAUGGACAAUACAAAGGGCAGCGAAACCGCGAGGUCAAGCAAAUCCCAUAAAGUUGUUCUCAGUUCGGAUUGUAGUCUGCAACUCGACUACAUGAAGCUGGAAUCGCUAGUAAUCGUAGAUCAGCAUGCUACGGUGAAUACGUUCCCGGGUCU
This 1372-nucleotide ribosomal RNA is filed under the name uncultured bacterium. Its description in RNAcentral is "bacterial SSU rRNA". It matches the Rfam family "Bacterial small subunit ribosomal RNA", at positions 28 to 1381 of the family's 1533-position model. The record is from RNAcentral.